GAUGAAGAACGUAGCGAAAUGCGAUAAGUAAUGUGAAUUGCAGAAUCCAGUGAAUCAUCGAAUCUUUGAACGCACAUUGCGCCCGCUGGUAUUCCGGCGGGCAUGCCUGUUCGAGCGUCAUUUCAACCCUCAAGCUCUCCGGAGUUUGGUGUUGGGGCGCCUGGGGCUUUUCGACCUCAGGGCCCUCAAGUCCAUCGGCGGGACCGCCAGGACACUGAGCGCAGUAGUAUUAUUUCGCUCGGUAGGAUCUUCCACGGCGGGUCGAUCUGGCCGCUAAACCCCCCAAUUCUCACCAAAGGUUGACCUCGGAUCAGGUAGGAAUACCCGCUGAACUUAAGCAUAUCAAUAAGCGGAGGA
RNAcentral lists this unclassified non-coding RNA (357 nucleotides) under soil metagenome. RNAcentral's name for it is "partial contains 5.8S ribosomal RNA, internal transcribed spacer 2, and large subunit ribosomal RNA". The stretch from base 1 to 120 matches the Rfam family "5.8S ribosomal RNA", at positions 35 to 154 of the family's 154-position model. The record is from RNAcentral.